GAUGAAGAACGUAGCGAAAUGCGAUAAGUAGUGUGAAUUGCAGAAUUCCGUGAAUCAUCGAAUCUUUGAACGCACAUUGCGCCUUCUGGUAUUCCGGAAGGCAUGCCUGUUCGUGAGUCAUUAACAACCGUUUCGAUCCCUUUCUUUCAGAAAUUACAAAGAGGAAAAGGGUUUGGUUAUGGUGGAGGAGGGAAAGGGAGCGUUUAGCCUGUAAAAAAAGAGGCUGUGUUCCGCCUCCCCCCCAAAAUUGUACAGGCGGUCGUGUGCGCCCACGCAUCGAGGUGUUGUAAAAGCUGCCACGGCACUUUUCACCUGUGCAGUGCGAGAUUGGCCAGCCGGUUUAAAAACCCCUCCAAACAAUCAAAGGUUGACCUCGGAUCAGGUAGGGAUACCCGCUGAACUUAAGCAUAUCAAUAAGCGGAGGA
This 425-nucleotide unclassified non-coding RNA is filed under the name soil metagenome. RNAcentral describes it as "partial contains 5.8S ribosomal RNA, internal transcribed spacer 2, and large subunit ribosomal RNA". The stretch from base 1 to 120 matches the Rfam family "5.8S ribosomal RNA", at positions 35 to 154 of the family's 154-position model. The record is from RNAcentral.